Long non-coding RNA from Cyprinus carpio carpio, 826 nucleotides. The record is from Ensembl. Lineage: Eukaryota; Metazoa; Chordata; Actinopteri; Cypriniformes; Cyprinidae.
GGUUUCUGCUGUUGCGAUCUAAGGUGACUCUGGUUUGGUUCGGUAAAGGAGAGUGGCUGUGUUUAUGGUCGUUUCCGCAUUUGCCACCGCUGCUUUAAUCGGCUGAUGGCUAUGAGUUUGUAUCUGUCCUCCUCCAGUUGAUGUGUUGUGUACGGGUGACGGCUGUUGCAAAUAGGCUGAGUAAUUACACCUACAGCUACAUCCCAGUUCCCGCAGCUUAUAUUUGGGUGAAUAACAUCUUUACAGUGGCAGUACCGCUGUCUCGUCUUACAGCUGAUUUGCAUUGAGUUUGUGUUUGUUUUGGGCCGGAGUAGUGUUUGACCCGUGCCAACGAACUGUGUCUUUGUGUAUGUUUUGUUUCGACAAAAGGCCUUGAGUGUUUAUUUUGUGUGGUACUUAGUUGUUAAAUUUGUUGGAUUUCUUGUCUAUUCAAUUUAAAUCCGGUACUUUCCGUAUUAGUUAUUGUUUUGUUAUUUUUGUUUGAUGGUGGUUUUGUAAGUCUGUAUUGAUUUCUUGUAUAUUGUAAUUUUGUUUCCAUAUUAAUGUGAAAUUGGGUAUUUGAAUUUAAGCUGAUUUAAUUUUCCUUUCUUUGUCAGUCUAAAUUGAGUGCUGUUUUUGUUAAUUGAUUUAUUUUGGCUGAUAGUAUUGUGAAACAAUUGUUUGUACAUUUGUUGUAGUUCAUUGUGAGUUAAAGUAUUGUUUAAGUUUUUCUUUACAGUUGUGUAAUUGGUACAAUGUUGUAUUAACGUGUGUGUGUGUGUGAGUUCUUUUUGUCUAGGAGCUGCAGGCCUUCUUGACCAGGGCGACCAUUCCUCUGUAGGUGGUG